AAGUCGGGGGAGACCGUCUCCUUCGGGAGACUAGUAAACCGGCGGACGGGUGCGUAACACGUGAGCAACGUACCUGGGAGAGGGGGAUAACCCGGGGAAACCCGGGCUAAUACCCCAUGACGUGGCGGCCACGCAUGUGGCGGCCACCAAAGGGGGCGUUCCUUCGGGAAGCUCUCACUUCCAGAUCGGCUCGCGGCCUAUCAGCUUGUUGGUGAGGUCACGGCUCACCAAGGCGAUGACGGGUAGUUGGUCUUAGCGGAUGAUCAGCCACACGGAGACUGAGACACGGCCCCGACUCCUACGGGAGGCAGCAGUGGGGAAUUUUGGACAAUGGGCGAAAGCCUGAUCCAGCGACGCCGCGUGCGGGAGGAAGCCCUUCGGGGUGUAAACCGUUGUCAGAAGGGAAGAACGGGCUCGGGCGAAUAACCUGGGCCGCUGACGGUACCUUCAGAGGAAGCGCCGGCUAACUCCGUGCCAGCAGCCGCGGUAACACGGGGGGCGCAAGCGUUGUCCGGAAUUACUGGGCGUAAAGGGGGCGCAGGCGGCUUGGUAAGUCCUAUGUGAAAGCCUACGGCUCAACCGUGGAAAGCCAU
RNAcentral lists this ribosomal RNA (593 nucleotides) under uncultured bacterium. RNAcentral describes it as "bacterial SSU rRNA". It matches the Rfam family "Bacterial small subunit ribosomal RNA", at positions 59 to 626 of the family's 1533-position model. The record is from RNAcentral.